UUCUUGAAACCAUUUGGUUUCCUCGGCAAGGAGUUCUUCACUCUUCUUCUCAUCUUUGUCUUCAUCCUUUGGUGUUUUGUCUUCCAAGAUGUGGCUCCAGAGACCACGACCACAAAGAGCAGUUUUGGUGGUUCUGGACCGCAGAAGAUAGUUAGCUCCCUUGAGCAUAACUGGAAUCACCACCAUUUUUGUGUUCUCCAUGAUGAACAGAAAGUAACCAUUGGGAAAUAGAAUAAAAGAGAAAGAGCGAACCAGAGAAUAAGAACACAGAGAUUAA
Molecule: long non-coding RNA, 277 nt
Filed under: Eutrema salsugineum
Lineage: Eukaryota; Viridiplantae; Streptophyta; Magnoliopsida; Brassicales; Brassicaceae
Description: long non-coding RNA (ESAL_LNC000696)
Source: RNAcentral